AUCAGCCUUUCGAGUGCGAUUCUGUGGAGUGUGAGGAGCUAAACACCUUCAUGCCUGCAUAUUCGUGCUCUUGGGUGUACUUGCUCGUGUGGUUGGUUAACAUCAAUUUCGGACGCCAUAAAAUGGCUGGAGGAAUGUAGCUUCGAUCUCGUAUUGAAGUGUUAUAGCCUUCGGUAGAUGUGGUGAUCGAGAUUGAGGAUUGCAACGGAUACCCUUCGGGGCUACCUGUCUGGUCUCUGAUCGUUGCUCUGGUGCCGAAAGCUUGCUUACGGUUAUCAAAGUCGAUGGUCAAUAGGUUAGAAUGGGUUAAAUUCGUUAAGGAUGUUGACGUAAUGGCUUU
This 340-nucleotide ribosomal RNA is filed under the name uncultured Glomeromycotina. Its description in RNAcentral is "eukaryotic LSU rRNA". Lineage: Eukaryota; Fungi; Glomeromycota. The record is from RNAcentral.